RNAcentral lists this long non-coding RNA (23087 nucleotides) under Sorghum bicolor (sorghum). RNAcentral's name for it is "long non-coding RNA (SBIC_LNC014545)". The stretch from base 13380 to 13607 matches the Rfam family "MIR6217 microRNA precursor family". Lineage: Eukaryota; Viridiplantae; Streptophyta; Magnoliopsida; Poales; Poaceae. The record is from RNAcentral.
GGAGGACUUAAAAAUACCGAACGCCUUGCCAAGAGGUAAACUUGGUAGUUAUCCUUUUCUUUUUAAUUAUUCAAUUAUAGUUUGCUUAGUUAAUCAUCUUCACACUAUCUUAAAAAGAAAAUAAAAAUGUGAAAAAAAUUGUAAGCCCCAUGUGAGUAGACGAGUGGCAUAAAACCCAUAAGUACAUUCACUGUGGUGGCAUAAAAAUAAAUAUCUUUUCUGCUUUAUAAAAACAAAAAUAUAAAAACAGGGAGUAACAAUUAUUAAGGAGUCUUAACAUGAUAAAGGCUAGAUAUUUAUGCUAACACUUAAUCAGUUCCACAAGCUAUGUUGUCUAUUUGAGCUCCACAGAAUUUAAGAAUCAAGAAGACUAGCAGACGGAGGACAUUCUAAUCGCUGUCAGAAUGCUGCUGACUUUCAAAUACACCUCUGCCACCUGCUAGCUACAUCAAGAGAAAUUACGUCAAAAUUCAGCUUGGGGGAGAGCACCCCCAUUUAUCUCGAUAAGUAUUUCUAUCUAUCUUUAUACUUAUACUAUAUUAGAAUAUAAAUACACAUAACUAUGCAAAACCAAAUAAAGAUUUUAUGCUUAUAUAUAUUUUGCUUAGUGUGUUUAAUAAAUAAAUAAAGUGGCUAUGCUAAUCUGUAUCUAAAUAAAACUUAAGCAUGGAUAUAAUGAAUAGUUGCUCUGCCUAAUUUGCAAAUUUGAAGUUCUCUCUCAAGUUUAGAUAUAACUAUUAUAAUUUAAAGCUUGCUCUAGACCUAAACUUGUGGGAUGAAAACUUGAUCUGAAGUCUAAGUUGUUAACGGAUACGAUAUGGGAAGGUUGAGCUGCUGUUUAUCUGUUCCUAAAGAUGCUAGAAUUCUGGAGAAUUUUAUCUUUGAAAAAUCUUUAAAAUAACACAUGAUGAGUUCCUGUAUGAUGAGAGUUUAAAUUCCUACCACAGCUAUAUAUACAUGCUUGCUAGACUUUGAGCCACACAUUUACUUUUUACUGCUUAUGAGCAUUGAGUGUGGUCAAGCUGUGUAGACCCUUAGGAGCUUGUCAUGUGGUUAAAUCAAGAUUCACUUGCACGUUCACUCAUACAUGCUACUUCUACUCCGGAAGUACCAUCCACAUAUAUCCACUCAUUUCCAUCUCCAAAACCACCCAAAAGUAUUCUACUCCUAAUCCAGGAGAGAAUAAAAAAAAUAUUUCUGUUUCCCCUUGUGAAAUAAAUGCUCAAGUUAUCUUGUUACUACCACUUGCUAUAUUAUCUCAAGAGAUGAAUGCUCUAGUAAAAAAAAAAGAGAUACGAGGAAAUAAAAAGGAGCAAGUGCUCGGAACCUCGAAAGAAAAGAAAAAGUGAGACGAGAGGUAAAAAUGGACAAGUGUCCGACAGUAGAAUUAGGGGUGCAAGACACCCACCUGAGAGAAAAAAAAGAAGAGCAUCUCAUUCUCCUCAUAAAGUUUCAAAAGCAAGGAAGGUAUGUAUCCCCUCAAAGAGCAAAGUAGAAUUAGACUUCCACCACCAUUGUUAUCACCAUCAUCACCAUACACCAUUCAUUAACCACACAUGCACAUCUUGAUUUGGCUUAUUGAUUUGUUUCUUUGGAUCCAUGGUUUGACUAUGCAAUAAAUGUCUUGUAAGUAUGUAUAUUUUAUCUCCCACCUAUGAGCUCCAGAUAUUAAAGCCUUAUUAGAGUAGGGUGAGAGAGAAGGCAAUGCCUUAUACCACAAAUACUACAUAUCUUGAGAGAAGGCAUAUACCAUCACUGCCUUGGUAAGGAUCCAAAAAUACCACAAAAGAGAGACCUGAGAGAAUCAUACAAGGAAUUUCUGAGUUUUAUUUGAAAAUCUGCAAAAACCCCAGAGCUAUAGCUGAUCAAGAAUAAGAGACAUGGCACUUGGCUAGACUGUUCUAUCUUUUAACCACUCAAGACAGAAGUGACGGUAACAAGUCCUAUGGUGUAGGUAAAGUAAGUAAGUUUUAAGUCUUAACAGUUUAUUCUAACUCAGAGAUGAGAUCUUGCUUGAAUGCGUGUGUACUUCUAAGAAAUGAAACCACUGCAGAAACUCUUGAGUUCAUCCUUGCUCAGGGACGAGCAAGAGGUAAGCCUGGGGGAGUUUGUUGACGGUCCUUAACUAUCAAAUUUAAUUAUCAAAUAAACAAAGAAAAUGAUCCAAAUGAAAUCAACAUCUAGACUUAGGGUUUUAUCUGACAGAAUUCCACGAGUUUUGGUGUUUGUCUAUUUCUGCAGGGGGUUAUCAGGAAAUAAGGAAGAAAGGCCCACAUGUCAGGAUUAGAUAGAGAUAUCAAUGCACCGCGCAAUUUUCUACCAUCUAGAAGACUCCAGAAGCCGCGAGACCGAAGCGGAGGCAAAACGGGGCCAGGACCUGGGCGCCCGCCCAGUUUCCUUGGGCGCCCGCCCACCUGCUGAGCCCAAUCAGGACUCUUUCUCUCGGGAGAUCUCCACCGACCUAUUAGAUCCAGAAUAACAUAGUACCACCUCGCCUAUCGACCCAAAAACGCAUAGAAGGGGAGGACUAUAUAAGGAGACCCCCUCUGGCUCCUGGAGAAGAGAAGAAAUUAUCAUAGAGAUUGAGGGGUGCCCUCGAAGGAAAACCUCUUCUCUAAAUAAUAUUUCUUUUUAGGCUUAGCAACCAAUGUAAGGUAGAAAUAGAUCUUCUAGUUUCUACUAGAUUGAGAGAGAUAGAGUGGAGGUGUGGAUCGGAGGAAGGCCGGCCUGUCGGUGUCUACUCCGAGUUGUACCUACGGGAUCAAGUCUCCUAACCCGAGGCUUGCUUCUAAGAUUCUUCAGUAAUUCGACUUCUAAUUCUAGUAAGUUCUUGCUUUAUUGUUCUUUAGUUUAUGAGUUUACUUUAAUCCUCUUCCGGUUGAGUAUUAGAGUAAUCACUUGUUAGCGUAAACAUGGUGUUUAGGCUAGGGUACUCAUAGAUAUCCCCUGACUAGCUGGACCGUGGUAGUAGCGAGGAACGUGACAUUUCCGAGUUACCUUUGUAGAUCACAUCUCGUUAGCAGGACGGGUAGGUUUAUAGGUGCGGGUCGAACAUCCUUUGUGUUGUCUAGAUUCCGUGAGCCUCCCCAAUAUAACAGUAGAUCAUCCUUACCAAGGUUAGAACGAGACUACGGUUGCAGUCUUCUCUAUACAUCACUCACAUCGAGAGACAUUCUUUGUAGCCUAAAGGGAUAGUAGCAAUAGAUUUGGUUAGUCAGAGGCACCCUUUCUCCCAGUGGUAAAAAUAUAAAUACGAUACUCUGGAAAACCUCCCGGGUGAAAUGCUCACCGAUAUCCGUGCGCUUGCGGAUCAUUUUCUAAUUGCGUUACCAAAUAUCCGUGCGCUUGCGGAUCAUCAAGUUGUUAAAAAGUCAUUUUUAUCAUUUAUUACUUAGCAUUAAUCUAGCCAUAGGAUCAUGGUCACAGAAAUAAAAUCCAAAUGCUAUACUUGCCUUAAAUUCGCUUCAAUCCAAUGUAACUCCUUUAGAGAAUCUUCAGCUAUCUUCUGGUCAUCCCUCGUAAUCUUCAACGUCGAGAAAUGGUUCUCGUCUACUCGUAGCAAGCACCGCACAUAGACAAACAUACAAGCAACAAAUAAAAACAACUAAGUACAAUACACCAUACAAGUUAAAAGAGCGUACUAAUAGAUAGCUAAUGCUACAAGGUCACAAGAAACACUCAUAAGGGAACUAUUGUUACAAAGGAUACGACUAUCGUGACUGACUAAAAAAAGAGACAAAAGACUACGGGGUGUAUUUAUUUUAUUUCAGUGAAACAAGGUGAUAGAUAUUUUAGAGAAACAUCCUAAAGUGGAAUUAGUCAAAUUGGAUUAAUUACAAAGUCGGAGUUAAAACUUAAUUACAUUUUAAUUAUAAAUAAUUAUAUAUAUAAUUUAAUCUAUUUAAGUAUUAAUAAUUUAGAAAGCAUAAAGAAAGCUAAGGUAGAAUUAAUCAUAUUUCUAUUAUAAACACAUAUAUAGUAUUUGAUCAAAUUAUUAAACUUAAACUUUAAUUUGAAAAAGACAAGUGUACGUGAAAAUACGUCCGAAUUUUGGCAUAAGAAUAUUAUACCGAAAACAUAUUUCAUUUGACUUUAAUCAAGUUAACAGUUGAAUAUAAGAGAUCGACAUUGCCCUAUAUUGCUUUUAUUUAAACAUAUGUUUACAUAAUCAUUAAUCAAUUUAUAAUAUUUAAAUAUAUACAAAAGCACGUGGCAUAUAAACAUCAAUCGUUUCCUGACAUAUACUCACAUCUGCACAAAGUUAAGCUACUAGAAUGUAAAUACACGUGCAUUAAUAUUGUAUUUCUAAAUUUAUUUUCCUGAAAGAAAACAGUGCGAAUGCAUAUUUGACAUCAUGAUGAUGUAAUGAUGAGGUCAUCAAGCUAAAUAGAACAGUAAUCGCUCGGCCAGCACUGGAUUUUCCGUCACUGUGGUUGGCUGGUUGCCAUGGAUGGCAGCGAGAAGCUCACGAGUGCAACCUAGGGACCGUGGUUCGCUCAGAGGAAAAUCAAGUCGACGGAGAGCUCACCUAGUGUUGGCAAACGGGGACGUCCUGGUGCUCGAUAGGGCAGCUCGGGAUUUCCUCAAUGCAGAGCUCGCCAACAGGUCACGGAUGACGGCCGAUGAAACGACGAUAAGGACAUAUGUUACGGCGGCGGUGGACACAAUCUAGGGCAAGGGCAAGAGUCUGCUCUGUUUAUAUAUANNNNNNNNNNNNNNNNNNNNNNNNNNNNNNNNNNNNNNNNNNNNNNNNNNNNNNNNNNNNNNNNNNNNNNNNNNNNNNNNNNNNNNNNNNNNNNNNNNNNAUAUAUAUUCUCUUUCCACACACUUAUAUAUAUAUAUAUAAAAAAUAAAGGGGGGGGCAAAGAGAGAGACAUCUGACUCUUUCUCUCUACAGACACACACACAAAGGAGCGCAGAGCACAGGCACGCACACACACACGUGCGCGCAUUUUCUUAUACACUCACACACACAAACACAAAGUGUAUGUCUUCUCCUUUUUUUUUUAUAAGUCUGAGAGAGUGUGGAAGAAAUAUAGAGUGUAUUUGUGUGUGUGUGUGUGUGUGUGUGUGUGUGUGUGUGUGUGGGGGGGGGGGUGAGCGGGGGCGCGCGCGCGCGCGCGCGUGCGCGAGAGUGAGUGUGUGUGUAUAUAAAUAUAUAAAUAUAUAUAUAUAUAUAUAUAUAUAUACAUAUAUAUAUAUAUAUAUAUAUAUAUAUAUAUAUAUAUAUAUAUAUAUAUAUAUAUAUAUAUAUAUAUAUAUAUAUAUAUAUAUAUAUAUAUAUAUAUAUAUAUAUAUAUAUAUAUAUAUAUAUAUAUAUAUAUAUAUAUAUAUAUAUAUAUAUAUAUAUAUGUGUGUGUUAGGAUCCAAAUAAGAGUUAAACUUGGUUUUCUGAUGUCACGGGAUAAUAUGUUGGCUAGAUGGUACAUGUUGAGGACUGCUCUCGCAGGUAGGCAGGCCGCCGGAGCAUCAUGUUUUAUAGCCAAGCCAAGUUGGAAAACGUAUAGUCGUAUAUUGCAAGUAGAUAUACCACUGCUAUACUAAGCUAGACUUCUAUUGGGGUGUCUUCAAAAGAUGAAUAUUACCCAUGUUUGGGUUAGUUUGAUUCGAUGGAAGCAUGAUAAAAAAAACGAUAGAAGUCUCAGCUCAUACGUGAAAGAGAGAGUUUGGGUUACUAUGGAUUAGCUUUGGAAUUGAUAUUUAAGAACAUGAGGAACCCGAAUAAAAUUUUUGGAGCUCAUGAUAACAUUGUUUGGAGCAUCUAAAAAUUAGAUCAUGCUCAGAGAAAAAGUGAGAACAGAAGAUGGAAAAAUUCCCAAAAAGUUUGUAGAGAUUGCUUUAUGGACGAGGAACUAAAAGAAGUGCCUUGAGUGACAAAGAAAAGAUUUUAGGAAGCUCCUAAUAAAACUUGAGCCGAGAAACAAGAAAAUUGGUUGAUAAGGAUAAAGACGUACUGGUCUAAAAGGAAGAUCGAUCUACUAAACGUAUUUUAAAAACUUUGCUCACUCAACACAUAAAGGAGAAACAAGCAUCACAUCAAAAUAUAUGCACCAGCAUGUAUGCAUAAUAAUAUUGCUAAGCCUUAUGUUAAAUUUUAAUUUAAUAAAAAAAUAUUAUUUUUCCUAUAUUUUCAUGAGCACAAAAAUAUAAAAUUGAAUAAUUUUAUCUAUAUUUCAAAAGGAGUAAAUUUUAGGGUGUUACAAUUCUACCCCUUAAGAUGAAUCUCGUCCUCGAGAUUCGGAAGACGGUUAUCAAAGAGACGUAGAUUUUGAAUCUUGUUCACUUCCUUGAGUAGUUUGUAAUACCCGAUUUUAAGGACAAAACCAGAUAUACACCAUAUGUGAGUUUUAGAAGUCAAAUCUCACAUAUAGCUACAAAUAAGGGGUAAUAUCAAAAGACAAUGCAUAAAUAUAUAACGUACUUAAUAUAAAAGAUAUAACAUUUUAUAGCAAACAGCGGAUAGACAACUCCAACCUUCGGGUAUUAACUUCACUCUACAGGAUCCAACUGACUGGUUGAUCACAAGCCCAAAACUUCUCCUGAGGUGUGGGGGAAAUUACAAGAGUGAGCACAUAUCGUACUCAACAAGUAUAACCAGGGGUUCAUGAGGCUCAAUAAGCUGACACUGGUUUGACUGCGUUUAGCUUUUAUAUGUAGAUAACAUUUUUAAUCAUUGGAUAGCAAAUAUCAAGGUAGCAUAGUAAAUCCCAUAACCACAUGAUCAGUGUAUACAAGAAUUAAGAAUAACACAUAUAAACAACAUAAUAAACCAUCAUUUAUCAUCAUUAAUCAUGUUCAUCAGUGUCUAGCUAUUCCGUCAGUUUUCGGGGCCGCCCGUAUCCGUGGGCACGGCUAGUAUACCAGAUUUAACACUCUGCUGAGGUUGUACAUCUUUACCCAUGAGUCAUGAUUUACCCUUUCGCCCGAGGCCCUUCGACCUCUUAGCUCACUUCUAAGGAAAGCCGGCAGGGUUCACUAUGAAGUCUUUCAAAGGUUCGUCUAACAAGUUAGGGCCGCAAGGUUUUCUUUGCGCACAGAUAUAGAUUCCCCCUUCCAAAUGGCACAAUGACGCGCAGCCUAUACACAUAAGGACAGGGGCUCGCACUAUACCCAAAACGGUUCAGCCCCUCCGCCCUUUCGGGUAACCUCUAACAAGCUAGAAAAGCUUACUCAUACUUGACUAAAGCCAGAGCCAUAUAGCCCUCAUGGUUGUACGAGUUGUCCCAGCUUUUGCCAAGGGACAAGUCCUUAUGGAGGGUCAAGAACAAUCCAGCAAAAGCCAGAGUUCUUUCCACCCUUUAUAUUCAAGUUGCUACAAAGCUUAUUUUAUAGUUUAUUGUAUAUCCAAACAUUCAUGUUACAAGAUCAUGGAUUAUAAUCAAGCACUAGGAAGAACUAUCCAAAUGCAUAUCCAAAAUAGGUAACAAGGAAUUCAGGAUAACAAUCAUCUAUGAUUUUGCUAAGGUCAUCAAGGUGGACGCAUGCAAAUGAUAAGUGCUAUAUUAAUUGUGUAUAGGUAACAAGGAUAGUCCCCAGUUAUACUUGCCUUGAUCAAAGCUCUCCUGAGCCUGCUGCUGGUCUUCAAAGGCUUGAUCUUGUUCACCAACGUAUCGCUCACCGUCUAUACCCGAUCAUCAAUCAACAACACGCAAUCCAAUGUAGACAAGCAUACACGAAGCAAACAAGCUAUAAUUAGAACAAUACACCAAACAGUGGCAAAACAAAGAUAAAAUUUUAUAAAAAUAUUCUACGCAGUGCUACGAUCACACAAACGUAAAGUUCACAAAAAUCGGAAUUAAAACGUGGAAGUUAUGGAUUUUCUAAGCUUUCCUAUAGAUAAAUAAUUUAAUUAAUUAGGGUCACGAAAUUAAAAAGUUUCAAACUGAGUAAAUAAUAUUACUAACACGUAGAGCUCGUGAUUAUGAAACCAACGCAAUUUGAAUGGACAAAAACGGAGCUAUAACGAAUAUUUUAUGAGCAAAAUACUUUCAGUGGCAGAACUGUAAAUAGCUGAAAACGUAUUUUGAACUGAGCUGAGAGAAAAUACGCUUUCAAAAUUGAGAAACACCUUUCCCAGAUGACGCCAAGGACCGCGGGUUGAGCUUUGAAAACAUUAGGGACUCUUUAGGAAAUUGUCCAAUCGAAUCGGUAACUUCUAAUCUCGAUCGUUGGAGCUCGAUCGGACGGCUCGUAACGCUCCAAGGAGAUCACGGUGGAGGCCGGCCGCCGGGGUGGGGCUCAGGCGCGGCGGCGCCAUGGCUGGGAAAGAACAGAGCUCGCCGGAAUUGAUGUAUUCGCGAUUCAGAGCACUAGGAAUUGAAAGAAGUUCACCAACCGGAGGAGGAGCUUACCCCGAACUCACCUAUGCUUGCGGUUUGGCCCGAGAGAGAGCGUGGAGAGCUCGCCACGGAAGCCUCGGCGAGAUCCCUUUUAGGGUGCUGCGGCGCUAGGGCGGCUGUGUGUCGCGUGGAGAUGCAAAGGAAGAACUUGGCGACUUUCCAGGGAGUCUUAUAGCGCUCGGUCGGGCAAAGGCGAGGGAAAUCCCGAGUACCCGGGAUCGGUUUCCUCUGGGAGAGUCCCAGUCGAACCCGGCGCCAGGAGGAAGAAGAGAUGGGUCGCUGCUAGGCGGGCCCGGGUGAUCAGGGAGAGAAGGGAAAGGGUGGCGCGGGGCUGGUCCAAACUGGGCUGUGCCUCACGCGCGCGGCCAGUGGGCCGAUUGCGGGAUCAGGCCAACGGGCCGAGAGAGAGAUGGGAAAAAAAGGUGGCGUGCUUGGCCGGAAGAGGGAGUGGGGCGCGCGCAGCUGGUCUGCCGGGCCGCCCACUGGGCCGAGCGCAAAAGGGGAGAGGGGACUGGCUGGGCCAAGGGUGCAGGUGAGCAUUCUUUUUUUAUUUUAUUUUAUUUUUUUCAAAUCCUUUUUUCCAAUUGAAUUUUGAAAGCAAAUAAAUACAAACCAAAAGAAAUCAACACAAAAUAAAAUAUAUUUCAGCAUGAAUGCAGAAUCGAGUUUACUAGACUUAUGAUGAAUUUUAAUUUUCCACAAAAAAUGUUUAAGUGCUAAAUUUAAAUGCUCACAAAAAUAUUCAAAUAAAUCAAAUUAAAUCCUAUUAAUUCAAAAGCAAUUUUUUUGGGUGUUACAUAGUUAUAUCUUCAUAGCAAUGAUUCCACUUCCUUACUUCAAGUAGCCUCUCAAGUAUUCCUAAAUUAUUGAUGAGACACCUAGUGUUGUAGGUAUGAUCCUUCUUUAAACUUAUUUCUCCAAGGGUAUUUUUUUGUUCUUAAGUACACCCAAACAUGGCUCUAACUUUGUCAUGUGAACAACUCAGGUACACCGAGCUCACUCUCAGGUAACUCCAAUUACAAGGCCACUUCUCUUUAAAUUUUUUAGUCCAUAUCAGUAACACGAGCAAGGAUAGAUUAUCAUAGGAUAUCUCAAGAGACAACUCUCACUUCAAGAUAGUUUGAAAAUGCAUCAUCCGUGAUAUCAAGGUACUACCCCUCUUAAGAUGAGAUUGACUGGGGGACACCAGGGACUAGUUCUCCUAUCCUUUUUUGGACGCUACACAUCAUAGUCUUUUAAAUUUGCUUGUACCGAGUCUCUUAAUCCAAGGUUACGUUCCUCACUAAGUUCCAAUUAUCGGUACCUUUAUCAUAGUUAAGUUGUUUCACUCUUGCAUCCCACUUUUAACUUCGUAAACUUGGGUGUCAUCUGAUCCUCAUACACAACUCUCAAUCCAUGAGUAUCAGUAAUAACAUAUAUCUCCAUUAAUAUUCUCUAAAUGGGAUGAUAUCAAAACCAAUUUACCAAGCACUUGUGAUCCUUACAUAUGAUCCAAUACUAGCCAAUCCUUUUCAUUGUAACUCCUUUAACUAGGCUACCCCCUUAGGAAAAGUCAAAUAGGGGACCAAGAAAGGUAGCUUGCCUGUUUUCCAGACAAGUUGACUAACAUUGAGAACUUCUGACAUCCCAAAGAACUUAGGUGCAAGAGAACAAAUAGGUAUCUUGAAAUCUUCUCGUAAUAUGAAAACACCAGCGUAGUAAAACAGGUAUAACUCUUAUUCUGUUAAUCCAAUAGAGUUGUAGCUUAUACCGUUACAAAACUUAUGAAAGUCCCUACAACUUUCAUGUAGAAGACUUCCUUAGGUUCUGUAUUUAAUCUUAGGUAAAACAACCAAACAUAAUAUCCUUCCUGACAAUGUCUCAGCAAUGUUGCAGUAAAUUCCAGAAAUUAUAUCUUGAGCUACUUAACUCAUCUGGAGAUGAUCCUUACAUUUUUGAAAAUCUUAGGAAAUCCUCUACAACUUUCGUAUACCACGUUUUCCCAGAUUCUGUCUUUAACUUGGCUGAAAAUAGGAAAUGCCAGAUCUGUCUAGAUUUUGAAACCGAACAGAAAUAUCCCAGUGUAAAUGUCAUAUCUCAGGUUCUACUUAUCCAAAUAAGUUCCAGCUUAUACUGUUGGAAGGCUUAGAAAAUUGUCUACAACGUUUCUAUAGAACACUUUUUCAAAAUCUAUAGUUACAUUUGUCUAAAACAGUAGGCAACUAAAACUGGUCUAGAUUUUUGACAGCACAUCUGUAUCAUCUUGUGAUUUUUAUAACUUCCAAACCAUAAUAGCUAUGAGGGUGAUUCUUGUGGGCAAAGAAAGAUCUUGAAGUCUAGUUGUUCCCAGGAAAAUUUGAUACACUUUGCACGAGCAGAUCUUGAGAUACACCAGAAUUAUUAUAGACUGCUCCAGAAAUCAGCAAGGGAUAAAAACAAGAGAUAGCCAAACCCAACUACCUAUUUCAUUAAUCUUUAUGCCUUACGCCUAUAAACUAAAUGAAAUUGUGAAGAAAAUCCACAAGAUCAUUUCACUCAUUACAAAGAUCCAAAUCAAGUGUAAACAUAAUGACAACCAAUUAAGCAUUGAAGGUUCACAUUUCACUCAACUUGCGAUACAAUCGUUCUCUUCAUACUAAGGGUACAGAUCCUAAAACUCCUUUUUAAAAGACACAAGAAGAUGAUAAGAGAAGGUUCUAAAAGCAUACCAAAUCAAGAAGUGAAGAUGAGAACAAGGACUUUUAAAAUAAGUAACAAGGUAGAGAGGAAUAGCAAGGGAAAGGAUAUAGUGUAUAGAAAAAUAUCAAGGUUUAUAGAACAAGGAUUUUAUAUCAAUUUCAAAACCAUAAGAUGGCCAAUUUCUAACUAGGCUUGUGUCUUACAGCCAGCAUUGCUAUGAUACCACUUUGUAAUGCCCGAUUUUAAGGACAAAACCAGAUAUGCACCAUAUGUGAGUCUUAGAAGGCAAAUCUCACAUAAAUAUAUAAGGGGUAAUAUCAAGAGACAAUGCAUAAAUAUAUAACGUACUUAGUAUAAAAGAGAUAACCUUUGAUAGCAAACAGCGGAUAAACAACUUCAAACUUCGGGUAUUAACUUCACUCUACAGGAUCUAAUGAUCACAAGCCUAAAACACCUCCUGAAGUGGGGGAAAUAGCAAGAGUGAGUCCAUGUCGAACUCAACAAGUAUAGCAACUAGAUUGUAUAUAUCCCACAAUCUCAUGAUCAAUGUGACAUAAAUAAUGUAGAGCAUUAAAUAAUAAAUAAUGAGCAUAUUUAACACACAAGAAUCAUCACCGUCGAUGCAAGAAUCCCCAAGGCCGCUCAUGACCGUGAGCACGGCUAGUAUACCAGUUUUACACUCUACAGAGGUUGUACAUCUUUACCCAUGAGUCAUGAUUUACCCUUUCGCCCGAGGUGAUCAGCCUCUUAACCCACUACCAAGGAAGGUCGGCAGGGAUCACUAUGAAGCCUUUCAAAAGUUCGUCUAACAAGUUAGGGCCGCUUGGUUUCAUUAGUCAGUCCAUGUGAUUCACCCGUAGGAAUCCACGGUCUGUUAUUCCCUAAUUGCGCCACACGGGUAACCGCUAACGAGCUAGAAAAAUUACUCAUACUUAACUAAAGUCAGAGCCAUUAUAACCCUUAUGGUUGCACUGUUGUCCCGGUUAUCACUUACAGAUAAAUCAUCAAGUUGCUAAAAAGUCAUUUUUAUCAUUUAUUAUUUAACAUUAAUCUAGCCAUAGGAUCAUGGUCACAGAAACAAAAUCCAAAUGCUAUACUUGCCUUAAAUUCGCUUCAAUCCAAUGCAACUCCUUUAGAGAAUCUUCAGUCAUCCCUCGUAAUCUUCAACGUCAAUAAAUGGUUCUCGUCUACACGUAGCAAGCACCGCACAUAGACAAACAUACAAGCAACAAAUAGAAACAACUAAGAACAAUACACCAUACAAGUUAAAAGAGCGUACUAAUAGAUAGCUAAUGCUACAAGGUCACAAGAAACACUCAUAACGGAACUAUCGUUGAAAAGGAUACGACUAUCGUGACUGACUACAAAAUGAGACAAAAGACUACGGGGCGUAUUUAUUUUAUUUGAGUGAAACAAGGUGAUAGAUAUUUUUGAGAAACAUCCUAAAAUAGAAUUAGUCAAAUUGGAUUAAUUACAAAGUCGGAGUUAAAACUUAAUUACAUUUUAAUUAUAAAUAAUUACAUAUAUAAUUUAAUCUAUUUAAGUAUUUAUAAUUUAGAGAGCAUAAAGAAAGCUAAGGUAGAAUUAAUCAUAUUUCUAUUAUAAAAACAUAUAUAGUAUUUGAUCAAAUUAUUAAACUUAAACUUUAAUUUGAAAAAGACAAGUGUACGUGAAAAUACGUCCGGAUUUUGGCAUAAGAAUAUUAUAACGAAAACAUAUUUCAUUCCACUUUAAUCAAGUUAACAGUUGAAUAUAAGAGAUCGACAUUGCCCUAUUAAACGUAUGUUUACAUAAUCAUUAAUCAAUUUAUAAUAUUUAAAUAUAUACAAAAGCACGUGGCAUAUAAACAUCAAUCGUUUCCUGACAUAUAGAUCACAUCUGCACAAAGUUAAGCUACUAGAAUGUAAAUACACGUGUAUUAAUAUUGUAUUUCUAAAUUUAUUUUCCUGAAAGAAAACGGCGAGAAUGCAUAUUUGACAUCAUGAUGAUGUAAUGAUGAGGUCAUCAAGCUAAUUAGAACAGUAAUCGCUCGGCCAGCACUAUUGGCUGGUUGCCAUGGAUGGCAGCGAGAAGCUCACGAGUGCAACCUAGGGACCAUGGUUCGCUCAGAGGAAAAUCAAGUCGACGGAGAGCUCACCUAGUGUUGGCAAACGGGGACGUCCUGGUGCUCGAUAGGGCAGCUCGGGAUUUCCUCAAUGCAGAGCUCGCCAACAGGUCACGGAUGACGGCCGAUGAAACGACGAUAAGCCGAUAAGGACAACUGCUACGGCGGCGGCGGACACAACCUAGGGCAAGGGCAAGAGUCUGCUCUGUUGCAGGAAAGAAAAACAAGAAGAUGAUGCGGUAGCUUGCUGUAUAUAUAUAUAUAUAUCACUCUGUAGCUGGCUACAAAAUAUAUUAUUCUGUAGCCACUUUGAGUUACCAUAAUUACUAUAUUAAUCUACAAGAUUAUAGUAACUCCUUACUAAGUGGUUUACUAUAACAUUACGGUAAAUAUCUCCAUGUGUUAUAAUAACCCAACAAUCGUAAAUAUGUAUACAUAUUAUCGUAAAUUAGUAUAUAAAAUUAUCGUAAAUGGAGGUGGCUAUAGAAUAACAUAUUUUGUAGCUAGCUACAGAGUACUCUCCCUAUAUAUAUAUAUAUAUAUAUAUAUAUAUAUAUAUAUAUAUAUAGGCUUAUGGGCCGAUGUGUUUUAGGAUCCAAAUAAGAGUUAAACUUGGUUUCCUGAUGUCACGGGAUAAUAUGUUGGCUAGAUGGUACAUGUUGAGGACUGCUCUCGCAGGUAGGCAGGCCGCCGGAGCAUCAUGUUUUAUAGCCAAGCCAAGUUGGAAAACGUAUAGUCGUAUAUUGCAAGUAGAUAUACCACUGCUAUACUAAGCUAGACUUCUAUUGGGGUGUCUUCAAAAGAUGAAUAUUACCCAUGUUUGGGUUAGUUUGAUUCGAUGGAAGCAUGAUAAAAAAAACGAUAGAAGUCUCAGCUCAUACGUGAAAGAGAGAGUUUGGGUUACUAUGGAUUAGCUUUAGAAUUGAUAUCUAAGAACAUGACGAACCCAAAUAAAAUUUUUAAAGCUCAUGAUAAGAUUGUUUGGAGCAUCUAAAAAUUAGAUAAUGCUCAGAGAAAAAGUGAGAACAGAAGAUGGAAAAUUUCUCGAAAAGUUUGUGGAGAUUGUUUGAUGGACGAGGAACUAAAAGAAGUGCUUUGAGUGACAAAGAAAAGAUUUUAGGAAGCUCCUAAUAAUACUUGAGCUGAAACAAGAAAUAUGGUUGAUAAAGAUAAAGACGUACUGGUCUACACGGAAGAUCGAUCUACUAAACGUAUUUUAAAAAUUUGCUCACUCAACACAUAAAGGAGCAACAAGCAUCACAUCAAAAUAUAUGCACCAGCAUGUAUGCAUAAUAAUAUUGCUAAGCCUUAUGAUAAAUUUUAAUUUAAUAAAAAAAAUAUUAAUUUCCCUAUAUUUUCAUGAGUAAAAAAUAUAAAAUUAAAUAAUUUUAUCUAUAUUUCAAAAGGAGUAAAUUUUAGGGUGUUACACAACAAGAAUAAACUUAUGUCCCUAGCUUGACGGUGGAUAAACCUGACCAAUGAGAUCAAUAGCUCAUCUUCAGAACGGCCAAGGUUUGACAAUAGGAUUCAUAGCCAAUGCGGGUGCUCUUUGAAUGUUGCCAAUCUUUUGACAGCCUUGACACCCUUUGAAAUAUUUGAAGCAAUCUUCAAGAAUAGUCAGCCAAUAAUAUCCAUUUCUUCUAAUCAUCCAUUUCAUUUUAAAAGCCGAUUAAUGUGCUCCACACCCCCUCAUGAAUUUCACCCAUCAAACUUUUUGAUUCAUCAACACCAAGACAUCUAAGUAAAAUUCCAUCCAUAGUACGAUAAUAUAGCUCAUCAUCAAGGAAUACAUACUUGGUGGCUUGAAGUCUAACGCGUCUCUCAACUUUCUUAGACGGAUCAUUUAAGUAAUCAAUGAUCUCCUUUCUCCAAUCAUCGGCAUCGAUUGCCGAUUAAAAUAUCUCCAGAACAGGUUGAUACACCAAAGCGUGUUGAGCCAACCGAUUAGCUUCUUCAUUAUGUAAUUGGAGAAUAUGUUAUAAAUGGAAAUCCUUGAAUUUCUUUAAUAACUGCAAACAUUUCUCAUAAUAUGAUAUUAAAAUUUCACUUCGGCAUUUAUAAAUUCCAACCAACUGAUUUAUGACAAGCAUAUAAUCACCAAAGAUUUCAACAGCAUCAGCACGAAUCUCCCUCAAUAACUCCAAUCCUUUCACCAGAGCUUGGUACUCGGCCUGAUUGUUUGUCGAUGUAGCAAUGAUUGGUAAUAAAAAUUCAUAUUUCUUUCCUCGGGGAGAAAUUAACACUCCACCGAUACCUGCUCCUUGAUCACAUGUAGAUCCAUCAAAGAAAAGCGUCCAAUUAGCAACCUCUAAAGAACCCACCGAACUGCAAUGUUGGGUAACAAAAUCGCCCAUAAUCGGUCCCUUGACUGCUUUAGCCAGUUCAUAACGUAAGUCAAACUCUGACAAUGCUAGUAUCCAUUUACCGAUUCUACCACUCAAAAUCGGCAUCGAUAACAUGUAUUUGACUACAUCAUCUUUGCAUAUGACAGUACAUUCGGCCGAUAGCAGUAAUGUCUCAAUUUAAUACAAGAAAAGUACAAACAUAGGCAUAACUUUUCAAUAGCCAAAUAUCUUAUCUCAGCAUCCACCAAUCUUCUUCUUAAGUAAUAAAUCACACAUUCUUUCCCUUCAAAUUCUUGAAUGAGAGCUGAACCGAUAAAUGCAUCAUCGAUCGAUAAGCAUAAUCUGAAGGGUUUUCCAUGUUGAGGUGGAACCAAUACUAGAGGAUUUACCAAAUAAUUCUUAAUUUUAUCUAAAGCUAGCCGUUGCUCUCUUCCCCAUACAAACUCUUGAUCAACUUUUAAUUUGAGCAAAGGACUGAAAGCUUUGAUCUUACCCGAUAGAUUGAAUAUAAACUACCUAAUAAAAUUAAUCUUGCCGAUCAAAGACUGAAGUUCAGUUUUAUCGGCAGGAGCAACUACCUUAUUGAUUGUAUUAAUGGAUCUUCUACUAAUUUUGAUACCUCUCUGAUGCACCAUGAAAUCCAGAAACUGGUCUGUCGAUACACCAAAUGCAAAUUUAUUAGGAUUCAUCUUCAAACCAUUUUUCCUUAUACAUUUAAGUAUUUUUCGUAGAUCGGCUAGAUGCUUUAUGAAAUCCCCAGAAUUAACCACCACAUCAUCAAUAUAAAUUUCCACCAAUGUGCCAAAGAACUCAUGAAAAAUAAAAUUCAUAGCUCUCUCAUAAGUAGCACCGGCAUUUUUUAGCGAAAAGUCAUGACUAUCCAUUCAAACAACCCAACAUGACCAGGACAUCUGAACGUAGUCUUGGGAAUAUCUUCUUCAGCAAUGAAUAUUUGAAUGUAUCCUGCAUUACCAUUCAUGAAGCUUAUAACCCAAUGCCCAGCUGCAGCAUCGAGCAACAAAUUGGCAACUGACAUUGGAUAGCCAUCCAUCGAUGUAGCUUUAUUAAGAUUCCUAAAAUCAAUGCAUACACAAAGUUUUCCAUUUUUCUUAUAGACAAGAACAACAUUAGAAAUCCACUCAGCAUACCGACACUGCCCAAUGAACUUAACUUCAAUUAGUUUGGUUAUUUUAGCCUUAAUAUCAGGAAGAAUAUUAGGGUUACAUCGACAUGCUGGCUGCUGAUGUGGUGGAAAUCUAGAUUUAAUAGGCAAUCAAUGUUCAACAAUUGAUUGGUCUAAUCUAGGCAUCUCAGUAUAAUCCCAAGCAAAGCAAUCUUUAUACUCUUUUAGCAAAUCGGUUAAUUGUCGCUUACAUUCGGAAUCUAACUUAGCACUAAUGAAAGUAGGCCUCGGCCUAUCACCACUACCUAUGUCUACUUCUACUAAAUCAUCAGCCGAUGUAAACCCCUGUCCUAACUUUCCAUCAUCGGCGAACCUAUCCAUUAAAACUCCUCAUCAGAACCGACUGCUUGGAUCGGUGGAAUCUCAUACUCAGUAACUUUGAGGAAAUCUUUCUCCCAAGCCUCUCCCGAUAUGAACCUAGUUCACUCAUAAGUAUCUGAUUCUGUCGAUGCAAUGAUGUAGGAAGAAUCUCUAGGAACAACUUCAGUUUUAUCGCCUACCCAUUGAACAAGGCACUGAUGCAUCAUAGAAGGGACACAACAGUUGGCAUGAAUCCAAUCUCUCCUCAGUAGUAGAUUGUACACGCCCUUUCCGUUGAUGACAAAGAAAGUUGUCGGGAAGGUCUUGCUACCGAUAGUCAAUUCAACGCAUACAGCUCCUUUAGCUGGAGACACAUUACCUUCAAAAUCUUUCAGCAUCAUACUGGUCUUGGUUAAAUCCCGAUCUCCUUUACUAAGCUUCCGAUACAUCACAUACGACAUAAUAUUAAUUGCAGCCCCUCCAUCAAUAAGUAUUUUAGAGACUCGCUGCCCAUCAACCCUACCUUUAACGAACAAAGCUUUAAGAUGUUGCCUUUCAUCAUCGGAGGGUUUCUCAAAAAUAGCCAUCAUUGGAUCAAGUGCCAACUGAGCUAUUUGAUCAGAGAGACUAAUUUCUUCAUCAUCACUAGAGGGUGCAAGAAAUUACACUGGCAACAUGAAUACCAAAUUGACAUCUGCCAAUGGUCCUUUCCCCUUGCGGUCCAACUGCUGCCGAUCUUCAGACUUAGAAGAAUUUUCUUCCCUAUACAAAUCUUCCUGACGUUCCCGUUGUAUCCUCCUCCUCUAGGAUCUUGUUAAACCUUCCAGACACCAUCGGGGAAGCUUUAUCUUCCAAACCGGUUGAUAGCGCACCUCAUUUGACUCUACACGAUGAAUGUUAAAAUCUCUGCAAAAUAGAAUUCAACGGGAACCCAUGCGUUUGCCAUCUCUUCUUGUUCUUCUUGAUUCCUCGGGAAAUAACUGACACGUCCACCAAGCCUUUCAUGCACAUUAAGCCUGCCCCUAGCCAAUCAUGUACUGACGUUCUCCCCCUGAUCGGCACAUUAAAACGUCGAUUAUCGAUUUGGAAUCUCUGAUUUGGCCAAUUAUUUCGACGGUAACCAUUGCACUCAGGACAGUCUUCAAUACUCGACAAUUUGAUAUCUCGUUCCUAGCAAUGAAUAAAGAACGGGCAAUCCCAAUGAUGUUUAUGUCGAUUCCACUCCUCCCGACAUCUAUCUUCUUGUUGAUGCCGAUAUCGAUCCUCACGCUGCUGCCAAUUCUCCCAUUGCCGUCUAUGAGUGAUUACUAUGCCAGAUAGGGGAGGCCGUCCAGAACUGCUGCCUUCCCUCAAUAAACCCUUUCCUUUGGCGUCAUCGGUAGUUAUAUGAUGCUGGGGAUCUACCGAUGCGUUCUUGUCAGCUGUUUCUGACAUCAAGACCUUAGUCUUACCCUUGGCAUCUAACAUAUUCGUGGGGAAAGGGUGCUGAUCAAUUUUCAUCGGCUUCUGAGUUUUAGAACUAUCAAACUUGAUUUUCCUAGACUCUAUAACCGAUUGCAAUUGCUGUCUAAACACUUUACAUUCAUUUGUACUAUGUGAAGUUGCAUUAUGCCAUUUGCAAUACUUAAUAUUUUUCAGCUCCUCCGCCGAUGGAAUUGCAUAAUUAGGUGAUAAUUUAAUCUGCCCCUCCUAAAGCAAGAAAUCAAAUAAAAUAUCCUAUCGGCUUUGGUAAUAUCAAAAGCGAACUUCUCUAGUUCUUUUUGGCCAAAAGGAUAAGAUAGUGGCUUCUUAUUUUUUACCCACUCUGCCAAGCCGAUGACUGGUUCCUCAUCACAAUCAGAAUUUUCUGCCUCAUCGACAAAUGAUACCUUUUUAUUCCAACUCUUCCUAGGUUCAAAAGUCCUAGUAUCUUGAUCCAAAAUUUUUUGCACCAAAUGACUCAAACAUUUAAACUCUUGAGAAGCAUAUUUAUCUUUGAGAUGUGGCAGCAAUCCUUGAAAAGCCAAAUCGGCUAGCUGCUGAUCAUCCAGAACCAGACUGGAGCAUUUGUUCUUUACAUCCCGCAGUCUCUGUACAAAGGUCUCUACCGAUUGUUGAGUAUUUUAAACGCAAACAGAAAAAAUCCGCAAGCGCACGGAUACCGAUGUAGCCUUCACCCAGGAGUAUUCUAGAGUAUCGAUUUUCCACAGGGAACAUGAGUGUACUAAUUAAGAAUCAAGAUCGCCGAAGGAUAACUGUAUAAUUAUUUUUGGUGGGAAGAGAGGAAGUUUCCUGAGAGUUCUCUAGUUGAUCUAAGAAUCAAGAAUUACUUCAAGAUUAUCUAUAUCGGGACAUCAGAGCACUAACCACAGAAAGAGAUGAGAAGGGGGCUAGGAAGGUCUGACUACGGUCCUACAAACACCGAUCCAAACGAGGUGGAAUACGUCGACCGUUAGGGCUAUCACUACCCUAAGGCUACCACAACAAUCCGCAAGAUUGGGUGCAAUUCCAGGUAAUUGCAAGACUAAACACCACGUCUAAUCUAUUAAUUACUACUCUAGCGUUAUAAAGACUAGAGCACUUGAUGCAAGCGGGAAUCCAAUAAAUAACUUGAAUGUAAAUAAAAGUAAUUAAAGAACUCAGGAAUUAUGAAUUGAAGAACCUGGAGAACGAUGAAGAACGAACCAGUUGCUGCAAAAGUACAAUGUUGAGGAAGAUCCGACAGAUCCGGCUCCUCCUCCGCUCUCCUCUUCUCUCUCCCUAUUUUCUAGAUUACAACUAGAACUAACUAGAACUAUAACUAGAGGAACUAGAACUAGAACUAGAUGAACUAGAACUAGAUCUAGAUGAACUAGAGGUAGAACUAGAAGAACUAGAGGGAUCCUCUCUACUUGGAUGAAGAAUUGAAACCCUAGCUUUGAUUCUGUACAAGAGGUAUGAUCUCUAGGGGCCAGGGGGCCUUGCUUAUAAAGUCUUUUCAGAUGAAUCUGGGCUGUCAGAUCAAACCGACAUUAAUCGCACGGUUUUCCUUGGUCCCUUAGGUCGGUGGAGCACGAUUCGCGAAGUUGAAGCUGAUUGGUUACUGUAGCUGGGCGGGCACCCAAGGGACUUGGGCGGGCGUCCUGCCCCCGGGCUCGGUCGGCCUCCCGUUCGUUCCCGUGGCUUCUGAAGUCUUCUAGAUAGUAGAAAAUUGCGCGGCACGUUAAUAUCUCUAUGUAAACCUGACGUGUGGGCCUUUCUUUCAUAUUUCCUGAUAACCCCCUGCAGAAAUAGACAAACACCAAAACUCAUGGAAUUCUGUCAGAUAAAACCCUAAGUCUAGGUGUUGGCUGCAUAUAAGUCUUUUUCCAUGAUUAGUUGAUGGUUAAAUGUGAGCAUUAAGGACAGUCAACAAGUUCCCCCAAGCUUAACCUUUGCUCGUCCCUGAGCAUAGAUGAACUCAAGAAUUUCUGCAGUGGUUUCAAUACAUGCGUUCAAACAAGAUCUCAUCUCUGGGUUAGGGUAAACUGUUAAGAUUUAAACUUACUCAUUUUUCCUUUCACCAUGGGGCUUGCAACCAUCAAUUAUGUCUUGAGCAGUUAAAAGAUAGAAUGGUCUAGUCAAGCACCAUGUCUCUUGUUCUUCGAUUAACUAUAGCUCUAGAGUUUUUGCAGAUUUUCAAAUAAAACUCAAAGAUUCCUUGUAUGACUCCUCUAGUCUCUCUUUUGUGGUAUUUUUGGAUCCUUACCAAGGCAGUAAUAGUGUAUGCCUUCUCUCAAAGUAUGUGGUAUUUGUGGUAUGAAGCAUAGUGACAUUACCUUCUCUCUCAUCCUACUCUAAUAAGGCUUUUGAUAUCUGGAGCUCAUAGGUGGGAGAUAAAGUAUACAUACUUACAAGACAUUUAUUGCAUAGUCGAACCAUGGAUCCGGAGAAACUAGUCAAUAAGUCAAAUCAAGAUGUGCAUGUGUGGCGAAUAAAUGGUGUAUGGUGAUGAUGGUGAUAAUAAUGGUGAAAGUCUAAUUCUACUUUUGCUCUUUUGAGGGGAUACAUACCUUCCUUGCUCUUUUGAAACUUUUGGGGAGAAUGAGAUGCUCUGUAUUUUCUUUUUCUUUCCUCUCAGGUGGGUAUCUUGUACCCCUAAUUCUACUAUCGGACACUUGUCUAUUUUUACCUCUCGUCUCACUUUUUUCUUUUUUUGAGGUCCCGGGCACUUUCCCCUUUUUAUUUCCUCGUAUCUUUUUUUCUCUCUUCUUUUUUUUAGAGCACUCAUCUCUUGAAAUAAUGUAGCAAGUCGUAGUAACCAAGAUAACUUGAGCAUUUAUUUCACAGAGGAAAACAGAAAUAUUUUUGGCUAUUCUCUCUCGGAUUAAGAGUAGAAUAUUUUUGGGUGGUUCUGGAGAUGGAAAUGGGUGGAUAUAUAUGGAUGCGUACUUCCGGAGUAGAAGCAGCAUGUAUGAGUGAACGUGCAAGUGAAUCUUGAUUUAACCACAUGACAAGCUCCUAAGGGUCUACACAGCUUGACCAUACUCAAUGCUCAUAAGCAGUAAAAAGUAAAUGUGUGGCUCAAAGUCUAGGAAGCAUGUAUAUAUGGCUGUGGUAGGAAUUUAAACUCUCAUCAUACAGGAACUCAUCAUGAGAUAUUUUAAAGAUUUUUUCAAAGAUAAAAUUCUCCAGAAUUCUAGCAUCUCUAGGAACAGAUAAACAACAACUCAACAUUCCCAUACCGUAUCCGUUAACACUUAGACUUCAGAUCAAGUUCUCUUCCCACAAGUUAAGGUUUAGAGCAAGCUUUAAAUUAUAACAGUUAUGUCUAAACUUGAGAGAGAUUUCAAUUUUGAGAACUAGUCAUGGCAGAGCAACUAUUCAUGAUUUCCAUGUGAGAGCUUAUCAUGAGGGUUCAUAGCAAACUUUAUUUAUUUAUUUAUUUAUUUAUUUAACAAACUAAGCAAAGAUAUAUAUAUAUGUAUAUAAGCACAAAAUCUUUAUUUGGGUUUUUAUGAUCAUGCAUCUUUUUAUUAUUUGAGUAAAGUAUAAACGUGAGUAGAACACUUAGCUGGAUAAGUGGGGGUGCUCUCCCCCAAGCUGGAUUUUGAUGUAAUUUCUUGUGAUGUAGCUAGCAGGUGGCGGAGGUGUAUUUGAAUGUCGGCAGCACCCUGACAGCGAUUAGGAUGUCCUCCAUCUGCUAGUCUUCUUUGAUCCUUGAAUUCUGUGGAGCUCAAAUAGACAACAAAGCUUUGUGGAACUAGUUAAGUGUUAGCAUAAAUAUCUAGCCUUUAUCAUGUUGAGCCUCCUCAAUAAAUUUUAUAUAUUUAGCAGGAUCAUGCACUUAUUAUUUUUAUAUUUUUAUUGUAAGCUGAAAACAUAUUUAUUUUAUGCCACCAUAGUGAAUGUACUUAUGGGUUUUAUGCCAUGAGCAUAUUCACAUGGGGCUUACUAUUUUUAACAUUUUUAUUUUCUUUUCAAGAUGAUAUGAACCUGAUUAACUAAGCAAACUAUUUUAAAUAAUUGAAAGAAAAAAGGAUAACUACCAAGUGUUGACACUUGCUAACACCACUUGAAUACUAGGUUGUCAUCCCCAGCAUGGCACUAGAGUGUACUAUGGUAUUUAUACACACACAGAUAAUCCGCAAGCGCACGGAUACCGUUGAAGCUUUUACCCGGUUAAAGGUUUUAUCGUAUCCACAGGGAAACGGGAGAACCAACUACGCUCUAACUUAACCAGGAUAGAUAGAUAAGUGUAAAUAGGAAAGAUGGUAGAAUCGAAUAAGAACAAUAUUAAAGGUAAGAUAACAGUGAGUGAUAAUAUGGGAAUAGAGAGUAGAGCAAUUCUAGUAUAUGGGCGAUGGUAGCAGAAUAGAGAGAAUAACUAUGGUUUCUCUACUUCAAAGGGGUAUGUCUAUGUCUGGGACGAACCACGUGAUAAGAGUACACCACAAAGGAUGCUUAUCCUUAGGCCGAUAAACCCUACCCGUCCUGCUAAGGAGAGGUGGACUACAAAGGACCAACGUAACUGUCACCUACGCGGCCUACCACACGAUCCAGCUAGACAGGGGAUAUCCACAAGUAAUCUAGGUCUAAGCACCACGCUUACACCUAUACUACAACUCUCACCUAUAGCGUCCUAUAGAUUAGAAUACUCAAAAGAGUUGUGAACCAGAACAUAUAUAAUUAGUAAUUGCAUAAUGAAUUAGAAGUAGAUU